RNAcentral lists this ribosomal RNA (301 nucleotides) under uncultured bacterium. Its description in RNAcentral is "partial 16S ribosomal RNA". It matches the Rfam family "Bacterial small subunit ribosomal RNA", at positions 509 to 807 of the family's 1533-position model. The record is from RNAcentral.
CAGCCGCCGCGGUAAUACAGAGGAUGCAAGCGUUAUCCGGAAUGAUUGGGCGUAAAGCGUCUGUAGGUGGCUUUUCAAGUCCGCCGUCAAAUCUCAGGGCUCAACCCUGGACAGGCGAUGGAUACUGGGCGACUAGAGUGCGGUAGAGGAUAGUGGAAUUUCCGGUGUAGCAGUGAAAUGCGUAGAGAUCGGAAGGAACAUCUGUGGCGAAGGCGACUAUCUGGGCCAACACUGACACUGAGACACGAAAGCGUGGGGAGCAAACAGGAUUAGAUACCCGAGUAGUCCCUGUCUCUUAUAC